Molecule: ribosomal RNA, 505 nt
Filed under: uncultured bacterium
Lineage: Bacteria
Description: partial 16S ribosomal RNA
Rfam family: Bacterial small subunit ribosomal RNA
Source: RNAcentral
GACGAACGCUGGCGGCGUGCCUAAUACAUGCAAGUAGAACGCACAGUUUAUACCGUAGCUUGCUACACCAUAAACUGUGAGUUGCGAACGGGUGAGUAACGCGUAGGUAACCUGCCUGGAAGCGGGGGAUAACUAUUGGAAACGAUAGCUAAUACCGCAUAAUAUUAAUUAUUGCAUGAUAAUUGAUUGAAAGAUGCAAUUGCAUCACUACCAGAUGGACCUGCGUUGUAUUAGCUAGUAGGUGAGGUAACGGCUCACCUAGGCGACGAUACAUAGCCGACCUGGGAGGGUGAUCGGCCACACUGGGACUGAGACACGGCCCAGACUCCUACGGGAGGCAGCAGUAGGGAAUCUUCGGCAAUGGACGAAAGUCUGACCGAGCAACGCCGCGUGAGUGAAGAAGGUUUUCGGAUCGUAAAGCUCUGUUGUAAGAGAAGAACGGGUGUGAGAGUGGAAAGUUCACACUGUGACGGUAUCUUACCAGAAAGGGACGGCUAACUACGUG